Cutaneotrichosporon oleaginosum is the source of this 83-nucleotide non-coding RNA. The record is from the annotation of a RefSeq genome assembly. Lineage: Eukaryota; Fungi; Basidiomycota; Tremellomycetes; Trichosporonales; Trichosporonaceae.
UCCUCCUUAGCUCAGUUGGUAGAGCGCGACACUAGUAUUAAAACGCUAUGUCGAGGUCAGUCGUUCGAGUCGGCUAGGAGGAA